This 460-nucleotide ribosomal RNA is filed under the name uncultured bacterium. RNAcentral describes it as "partial 16S ribosomal RNA". It matches the Rfam family "Bacterial small subunit ribosomal RNA", at positions 338 to 795 of the family's 1533-position model. The record is from RNAcentral.
CCUACGGGUGGCAGCAGUGAGGAAUAUUGGUCAAUGGGCGAAAGCCUGAACCAGCCAAGUCGCGUGAGGGAUGAAGGUACUAUGGAUCGUAAACCUCUUUUAUAAGGGAAUAAAGUGCGGGACGUGUCCCGGUUUGUAUGUACCUUAUGAAAAAGCAUCGGCUAACUCCGUGCCAGCAGCCGCGGUAAUACGGAGGAUCCGAUCGUUAUCCGGAUUUAUUGGGUUUAAAGGGUGCGUAGGCGGCCUUUUAAGUCAGCGGUGAAAGGCUGUGGCUCAACCAUAGAAGUGCUGUUGAAACUGGGGGGCUUGAGUAUGUUUGAGGCACGCGGAAUGCGUGGUGUAGCGGUGAAAUGCUUAGAUAUCACGCAGAACCCCGAUUGCGAAGGCAGCCUGCCAGGCCAUGACUGACGCUGAUGCACGAAAGCGUGGGGAUCAAACAGGAUUAGAUACCCGAGUAGUC